Molecule: ribosomal RNA, 253 nt
Filed under: uncultured bacterium
Lineage: Bacteria
Description: partial 16S ribosomal RNA
Rfam family: Bacterial small subunit ribosomal RNA
Source: RNAcentral
UACGAAGGGGGCUAGCGUUGCUCGGAAUUACUGGGCGUAAAGCGCACGUAGGCGGCUUUCUAAGUCGGGGGUGAAAUCCUGGAGCUCAACUCCAGAACUGCCUUCGAUACUGGAGAGCUCGAGUCCGGGAGAGGUGGGUGGAACUGCGAGUGUAGAGGUGAAAUUCGUAGAUAUUCGCAAGAACACCAGUGGCGAAGGCGGCUCACUGGCCCGGUACUGACGCUGAGGCACGAAAGCGUGGGGAGCAAACAGG